Molecule: ribosomal RNA, 468 nt
Filed under: uncultured bacterium
Lineage: Bacteria
Description: partial 16S ribosomal RNA
Rfam family: Bacterial small subunit ribosomal RNA
Source: RNAcentral
GAUGAACGCUGGCGGCGUGCCUAACACAUGCAAGUCGAACGGCAAGGCCCUGCUUUUGUGGGGUGCCCGAGUGCCGAACGGGUGAGGAACACGUGUAUAUCCGGCCCUUGUUUUUCGGAUAACUUUACGUAACUGGGGCUAUUCUCGGAUAGCAUCUCCUGCUGCAUGGUGGGGGUUGGAAAGUUUCGGCGGUUGGGGAUGGACUCGCGGCUUAUCAGCUUGUUGGUGGGGUAGUGGCUUACCAAGGUUUUGACGGGUAGCCGGCCUGAGAGGGUGACCGGCCACAUUGGGACUGAGAUACGGCCCAGACUCCUACGGGAGGCAGCAGUGGGGAAUAUUGCACAAUGGGCGGAAGCCUGAUGCAGCAACGCCGCGUGCGGGAUGACGGCCUUCGGGUUGUAAACCGCUUUCGCCUGUGACGAAGCGUGAGUGACGGUAAUGGGUAAAGAAGCACCGGCUAACUACGUG